GACGAACGCUGGCGGCGUGCUUAACACAUGCAAGUCGAACGGAAAGGCCUCUUUCGGGGGGUACUCGAGUGGCGAACGGGUGAGUAACACGUGAGUAACCUGCGCUUUACUCUUGGAUAACUUCAGGAAACUGGGGCGAAUACCGGAGAGGGGCUCCUGCUGCGUGGUGGGGGGUGGGGAGUUUCGGCGGUUGGGGAUGGAGUCGCGGCUUAUCAGCUUGUUGGUGGGGGAGUGGGUUAUCAAGGCUUUUUGGGGGAGCCGGGCUGGGAGGGUGACCGGGCAAAAUGGGACUGGGAUACGGGCCAGACUCCUAACGGAGGCAGGAGUGGGGAAUAAUGCACAAUGGGUCGAAGCCUGAUGCAGCAAAGCCGUGUGCGGGGUGACCGGCCUCGGGUUGUAAACCGCCUUCGGCCAGGACGAAGCUUUGUGUGACGGUAGUGGGUAAAGAAGCACCGGCUAACUACGUG
RNAcentral lists this ribosomal RNA (467 nucleotides) under uncultured bacterium. Its description in RNAcentral is "partial 16S ribosomal RNA". It matches the Rfam family "Bacterial small subunit ribosomal RNA", at positions 28 to 507 of the family's 1533-position model. The record is from RNAcentral.